CCUACGGGAGGCAGCAGUGGGGAAUAUUGCACAAUGGGCGAAAGCCUGAUGCAGCGACGCCGCGUGAGGGAUGACGGCCUUCGGGUUGUAAACCUCUUUCAGCAGGGAAGAAGCGAAAGUGACGGUACCUGCAGAAGAAGCGCCGGCUAACUACGUGCCAGCAGCCGCGGUAAUACGUAGGGCGCAAGCGUUGUCCGGAAUUAUUGGGCGUAAAGAGCUCGUAGGCGGCUUGUCACGUCCGAUGUGAAAGCCCGGGGCUUAACCCCGGGUCUGCAUUCGAUACGGGCUAGCUAGAGUGUGGUAGGGGAGAUCGGAAUUCCUGGUGUAGCGGUGAAAUGCGCAGAUAUCAGGAGGAACACCGGUGGCGAAGGCGGAUCUCUGGGCCAUUACUGACGCUGAGGAGCGAAAGCGUGGGGAGCGAACAGGAUUAGAUACCCUGGUAGUCCACGCCGUAAACGUUGGGAACUAGGUGUUGGCGACAUUCCACGUCGUCGGUGCCGCAGCUAACGCAUUAAGUUCCCCGCCUGGGGAGUACGGCCGCAGGGGCUAAAACGUCAAAGNGUAGUAGGACGNGUAGAGACGUCGACCGAGCACGACGGAGGAGAGG
RNAcentral lists this ribosomal RNA (607 nucleotides) under uncultured bacterium. Its description in RNAcentral is "bacterial SSU rRNA". It matches the Rfam family "Bacterial small subunit ribosomal RNA", at positions 338 to 1413 of the family's 1533-position model. The record is from RNAcentral.